Molecule: ribosomal RNA, 494 nt
Filed under: uncultured bacterium
Lineage: Bacteria
Description: partial 16S ribosomal RNA
Rfam family: Bacterial small subunit ribosomal RNA
Source: RNAcentral
GACGAACGCUGGCGGCGUGCUUAACACAUACAAGUCGAACGGUGAAGCGCCUUCCUUUUUGGUGGGUGUGGAUGAGUGGCGAACGGGUGAGUAACACGUGAGUAACCUGCCCCCUUCUUCUGGAUAACCGCAUGAAAGUGUGGCUAAUACGGGAUAUUCUGGGUCUGUCGCAUGAUGGGUCUGGGAAAGAUAUUGUUUCGGUGGGGGAUGGGCUCGCGGCCUAUCAGCUUGUUGGUGGGGUGAUGGCCUACCAAGGCGGUGACGGGUAGCCGGCCUGAGAGGGUGGACGGUCACACUGGGACUGAGACACGGCCCAGACUCCUACGGGAGGCAGCAGUGGGGAAUAUUGCACAAUGGGCGCAAGCCUGAUGCAGCGACGCCGCGUGAGGGAUGGAGGCCUGCGGGUUGUGAACCUCUUUCGCCAGUGAAGCAGGCCUGCCUCGUUUGUGGGUGGGUUGACGGUAGCUGGAUAAGAAGCGCCGGCUAACUACGUG